GCUCCCAUGGCGUAGUGGUCACUGCGCUCGCCUUGCACGCGGGAGACCCAAGUUCGAUUCCCGGCGGGGUCA
Molecule: transfer RNA, 72 nt
Filed under: Diaphorina citri (Asian citrus psyllid)
Lineage: Eukaryota; Metazoa; Arthropoda; Insecta; Hemiptera; Psyllidae
Rfam family: tRNA
About the family: Transfer RNA (tRNA) molecules are approximately 80 nucleotides in length. Their secondary structure includes four short double-helical elements and three loops (D, anti-codon, and T loops). Further hydrogen bonds mediate the characteristic L-shaped molecular structure. tRNAs have two regions of fundamental functional importance: the anti-codon, which is responsible for specific mRNA codon recognition, and the 3' end, to which the tRNAs corresponding amino acid is attached (by aminoacyl-tRNA synthetases). tRNAs cope with the degeneracy of the genetic code in two manners: having more than one tRNA (with a specific anti-codon) for a particular amino acid; and 'wobble' base-pairing, i.e. permitting non-standard base-pairing at the 3rd anti-codon position.
Source: Rfam by way of RNAcentral